AAAAAGACAAAUCCUGGUUUUUCGUGUCCAACUUUAACUGUCCGUCUUAUAUGAAAUUUUUUUAUAAUUCGUAUUUUUAUUGUUGUUAGAUGAUAAAACAUGAUUAAUAUUUUAUGCGUGACUUGUCUUUUUAAUUUUUUUCAUAUUUUUUUCAAAUAAGACGGACGGUCAAACGUUGGACACAAAAACUAGGGUUUGUCUUUUU
MicroRNA precursor from Oryza sativa Indica Group (long-grained rice), 205 nucleotides. It matches the Rfam family "MIR812 microRNA precursor family". The record is from Rfam. NCBI's taxonomy places the organism in Eukaryota, Viridiplantae, Streptophyta, Magnoliopsida, Poales, Poaceae.